Molecule: ribosomal RNA, 650 nt
Filed under: Sphingomonas sediminicola
Lineage: Bacteria; Pseudomonadati; Pseudomonadota; Alphaproteobacteria; Sphingomonadales; Sphingomonadaceae
Description: bacterial SSU rRNA
Rfam family: Bacterial small subunit ribosomal RNA
Source: RNAcentral
AUGCAGUCGACGAGACCUUCGGGUCUAGUGGCGCACGGGUGCGUAACGCGUGGGAAUCUGCCCUUGGGUUCGGAAUAACAGUUAGAAAUGACUGCUAAUACCGGAUGAUGACUUCGGUCCAAAGAUUUAUCGCCCAGGGAUGAGCCCGCGUCGGAUUAGCUUGUUGGUGAGGUAAAAGCUCACCAAGGCGACGAUCCGUAGCUGGUCUGAGAGGAUGAUCAGCCACACUGGGACUGAGACACGGCCCAGACUCCUACGGGAGGCAGCAGUGGGGAAUAUUGGACAAUGGGCGAAAGCCUGAUCCAGCAAUGCCGCGUGAGUGAUGAAGGCCUUAGGGUUGUAAAGCUCUUUUACCCGGGAUGAUAAUGACAGUACCGGGAGAAUAAGCCCCGGCUAACUCCGUGCCAGCAGCCGCGGUAAUACGGAGGGGGCUAGCGUUGUUCGGAAUUACUGGGCGUAAAGCGCACGUAGGCGGCUUUGUAAGUUAGAGGUGAAAGCCCGGAGCUCAACUCCGGAAUUGCCUUUAAGACUGCAUCGCUUGAAUCAUGGAGAGGUGAGUGGAAUUCCGAGUGUAGAGGUGAAAUUCGUAGAUAUUCGGAAGAACACCAGUGGCGAAGGCGACUCACUGGACAUGUAUUGACGCUGAGGUA